ACCUACCAGCACAAUGAGUGAACAUGCUGAGUAGAAUCAGAGCAGUGUUCAGGACGCAUCUCUCAGUAUUAGUCUCUAGGCCUUGCCUAAAGAGAAAACUCUUACACCCCCAAUUUUCCCGAGGAGAUCUUCGAGAACAGCGCUGUCGUCUCCUGACCGCCCAGCAUGCUCUCAGUGACCCUUCUCCUGCUCGGAAUGCCCUUCACCCUGAGAGGAAGCAGCGCCCAGUCAGUGGCCCAGCCUGACCGCCAAGUGGCCAUCUUGGAAGGAGGUCGUGUGCUGCUGAGGUGCAACUAUACCUACAGCGGAGCACCUUAUCUCUUCUGGUACGUCCAGCAUCCUGGCCAAGGCCUCCAGCUUCUGCUCAGAUACAUGUCAGGUGCUCCCGUGGUUACAGGCAUCAGAGGCUUCAAGGCUGAAUUUAAGAAGAGCGAAACCUCGUUCCACCUGGAGAAGGCCUCAGCGCACCCCAGUGACACAGCCACUUACUACUGCGCUGUGAGCGGCACAGUGCCUGGGCCCCCAAGGGGAGCUGAGCACAAACCUCCUGAGACUGCCUGUGCGUGCAGAGCGCAGCUGACCUGCUUUAGCGAGGUCUCAUGCUAUAGAGGAGAGGAGGAGCGAGAAGCAAAGAUAUGGGGUCUGUUUGAUCCUGAAAAGAAAUAGGAACAUUUGCAAUUCUUUCCUCUUCACUUUCCUGUCAGUUAAGAAGCAGAGUGGAGAGACUCACGUGGAUAUUCUCCUGCAGUUCUACAAGGUCAGGGCUCUGCUUUCCUGUAGCCAGUGCUGAGAUCUUGGUCUUUCCCGUUCUUACCUCUAAAAUGCUCGUGCUACUACCUUUUGCUUUUCACCUGAUAGUAACUUCAGAGUUAUCUUUGGCUUUCAUUUGUUUUUUUUCCUUCUAUUUCCUCACAUUAUAAUCCGGUGUUCCUACCUUAAUACUAACCCCUAAUGUAGUUACUGUUACAUCCUUGGUCAGCGACAGCCUUCUCCCUGACCUUCCUGCUUGACUUCUGACACAUUCUUAAUACAGCAGGCAUGAAGUAACAGUGAGAUCCCUUAAGUCAUAGAUUCUGUCAUUUCUUGAUAAAAUCCUUGCAAUAGCUUCCUAUUUCUCUCAGGGUAAAUCAAAGACUUUAUAAUGUCCUAUAAGAUGGGAUCUGUCCCCCCUUACAUUUUUAAAAAGCUGAGAAAAAAAAAUUCUGUCAAUCAUGAAUUCUAUAGCUUGUCAAAUACCUUAUAGAACUUUGUAACAAAAUAAAGAGAUUUUGGAUAAAGGGAAAUGGAGAGAAUUCAUCAGGAAUAGACUUGUUCUAAAACAGAGAAGGAAGUUCUUUAGGCUGAAGGGAAAUGAUGCCGGAGGAACAUUUGGAACUCCAAGAAGGAAGAGCAGCAGAAUAAUGAGCAUAUGCUAAAAUGUAUGGAACAGUUUUAAUUCUGUUUUUGAAAAGCUGCUCUGAGCUAGAAAUACUAUAUAAAAACUACACACAUUUGAUGUGUACAGUGUGAUGAGUUUAUAAAUUUGUAUACAACCUUGAAGCCAGGAUCACAUCUGAGGAAUGAGACUUAUCCAUCCCUCUACAAGUUUUGGUUUUGGUGGUUGCUAUUGUAGCUGCUGGAGCAGCUCUCAAUGUCAAAUCUGUUCUCUCAAAGUUUAGAUGUACAACGUUAUGUUCUUCCCUGUAGGCCCUGUGUUGAGGAGAAGAGCUCUAGAAGUUACCCUUGCAAAAAUGAGCCGUGUCUCUACUGCACAAUAAUUCCCUAUUUGUCCCUUUCCAUUCCAGUCCCUGGAAGCCAAAAUGGUAUUCUCUUCUCGUAUGCUUUUGAUAAUUUUAGAUAUUUAUAUAAGUAGAACCAUGCCGUAUAUCUUUCUGCAACUGGCUUAUUUCAUUUAGAGUAAUGUCCUAAACGUUCAUCUAUUCAUCAUGAAUUACAGGAUAUCUGUCUUUCUCAAGGCUGAACAAUAUCAAGUUAUAUCAAAAUACUGUAUUUUCACCCAUUCAUCUGUCAGCAUACUUUUAGCUUGUUUCUACAUUUUGGUUAUCUAGGAUUACGUAGACAGGACAAUGAAAUGAAAUACCACACACAAAGAUUAUCUCAAAAUUUAUUGACGCUUUAAACAUAAGACCUAAAGCUAUAAAAACACUAGAAAAACGUGGAGAAAAAUAUUCAUGAAAUUGAUCUUGGCAAUAAUUUUUUUAUAUGACAAAAAGGUGCAGACAACAAAAGCAAAUAUACUCAUGUAUAAUUGUAUUGCACUAAAAAGCCUCUGCACAGUACCUGAUGGAAUGUGGGAAAAUAUUUGCAAACUGCAAAUCUUACAGAGUAUCAGAGUCCAAAAUACACAAGAAACUACUGUAAUACAAUAGCAAGAAUGCAACCUUACUAAAAAAUGGCCAUGUAACCUGAAUAGACACUUUUUUCCAAAGAAGAUAUACUCAGUAGCCAACAAGUAUACAAAAAGUUGUUCCAUAUCAGUUUAAAUCAUCAGGGAAAUGGAAAUCAAGAUUACAAUGGGAUGUCACCUUACAUGUUAUGAUGACAAUUGUAUACAAAAUAUAGAAAGAGAUAAAUGUGGAUGGAGCUGUGUGAAACUAGAAUUUUUAUGCACUGAGAUUACCUUGAGAAUGUAAAAUGGUCCAGCUGCUAUCCCUUCCUCAUAAAAUCAAAAAUAGAACUAUGACAUAGUAGUUAGUAAACUCUGGGUAUAUAUUCAAAAGGAUUGAAAUUCAGAUCACACAUGAAUACCAGCACUUCUUAGUUAACUGAAACAUUAUUCACAAUUCUAUUGUUUUGACUUAUUUAAAAUGUUUCUGACUUGUUGAAAUCUAUUGUUAUAACAUUGCUUGUGAAGGUUUUCACAUUCUGAGCAUGGAAGACAGCUGACAACUGGAACAUAAAGAAGAGGAGGGGAUGUAACCUAAACAGUUGUAAGUUUCAUGUAUUUGUAUGAAUAGUGUGCUUAAAUAACACUGUAUAGACUGUGAAAGGUUAAAGAACAGGCUUGAUGCAAUCCUAACAGAAAUCACUAAAAACAUAAGAAGAAAUAGUUAAAAUCAGCUAGAUGAAUUCUGUAAGUAGAUAAAUAGCUAAACAUAAGUAGAUACACAAAUCAGGUUCAUCUCAGUGAAGUAGAGGUUAGAAGAGUUGCCAAGAGAGCCUGGGAGGUGUGGGGGAGGGGCAGAGAGCUUGAGGUCCAUGGGCGCAGGGAUGCAGUUGGACAGAAGGAAAAACUUCUAAUAUUCUAUGACAGUGGGAUAAGGAUGGAGGGUAGCAGUUAUUUCAAAAUAGCUAAAAGAGACAGUAAUAAAUAAUGUAUAGCUGAGGUGAGAGGUAUACCAGUUAUCCUGAUCUUACCAUUACACCUUGUACAUGUGUUGAAGCCAUGCUCCAUCCCAUAAAUAUGUACAAAUUCUAUAUGUCCAUUUAAAACUUUUAAA
This is a non-coding RNA of Chinchilla lanigera (long-tailed chinchilla), 3440 nucleotides long. NCBI's taxonomy places the organism in Eukaryota, Metazoa, Chordata, Mammalia, Rodentia, Chinchillidae. The record is from the annotation of a RefSeq genome assembly.